GCGAUUAUAUCAGCACUAAUGCACCGGAUUCAAUCAGAACUCCGAAGUUAAGCUUGCUUGGGCGAGAGCAGUACUAGGAUGGGUGACCCCUGGGAAGUCCUCGUAUUGCUCCU
Molecule: ribosomal RNA, 113 nt
Filed under: Zingiber officinale
Lineage: Eukaryota; Viridiplantae; Streptophyta; Magnoliopsida; Zingiberales; Zingiberaceae
Source: RNAcentral